RNAcentral lists this ribosomal RNA (500 nucleotides) under uncultured bacterium. RNAcentral describes it as "partial 16S ribosomal RNA". It matches the Rfam family "Bacterial small subunit ribosomal RNA", at positions 30 to 523 of the family's 1533-position model. The record is from RNAcentral.
AUUGAACGCUGGCGGCAUGCCUUACACAUGCAAGUCGAACGGCAGCACGGGUGCUUGCACCUGGUGGCGAGUGGCGAACGGGUGAGUAAUAUAUCGGAACGUACCUUAUUGUGGGGGAUAACGCAGCGAAAGCUGUGCUAAUACCGCAUAAUCCCUUAGGGGGAAAGCGGGGGACCGUAAGGCCUCGCGCAAUUAGAGCGGCGGAUACCUGAUUAGCUAGUUGGUGAGGUAAAGGCUCACCAAGGCGACGAUCAGUAGCUGGUCUGAGAGGACGAUCAGCCACACUGGGACGGAGACACGGCCCAGACUCCUACGGGAGGCAGCAGUGGGGAAUUUUGGACGAUGGGGCAACCCUGAUCCAGCAAUGCCGCGUGAGUGAAGAAGGCCUUCGGGUUGUAAAGCUCUUUUGUCAGGGAAGAAACAGCAGCUCUAACACAGUAUGCGAAUGACGGUACCUGAAGAAUAAGCACCGGCUAACUACGUGCCAGCCGCCGCCGUAA